UCUCUCAUAGUACAACGGGUUAGUACACACAUUGCGGAUCAGUAUUUGGGUUCUCGAUUAUUGUGUGGGAUCUGGGUUCGAUUCCCAGUGAGAGAA
Non-coding RNA from Pluteus cervinus, 96 nucleotides. The record is from the annotation of a GenBank genome assembly. Lineage: Eukaryota; Fungi; Basidiomycota; Agaricomycetes; Agaricales; Pluteaceae.